Molecule: ribosomal RNA, 253 nt
Filed under: uncultured bacterium
Lineage: Bacteria
Description: partial 16S ribosomal RNA
Rfam family: Bacterial small subunit ribosomal RNA
Source: RNAcentral
UACGUAGGGGGCAAGCGUUGUCCGGAUUUAUUGGGCGUAAAGAGCGUGUAGGCGGCUUGGUAGGUCCGCUGUGAAAACUCGAGGCUCAACCUCGAGAUGUCGGCGGAAACCACUUGGCUAGAGUCCGGAAGAGGAGAGUGGAAUUCCUGGUGUAGCGGUGAAAUGCGCAGAUAUCAGGAAGAACACCUAUGGCGACGGCAGCUCUCUGGGACGGUACUGACGCUGAGACGCGAAAGCGUGGGGAGCGAACAGG